RNAcentral lists this ribosomal RNA (468 nucleotides) under uncultured bacterium. RNAcentral describes it as "partial 16S ribosomal RNA". It matches the Rfam family "Bacterial small subunit ribosomal RNA", at positions 28 to 507 of the family's 1533-position model. The record is from RNAcentral.
GACGAACGCUGGCGGCGUGCUUAACACAUGCAAGUCGAACGGAAAGGCCCUGCUUUUGUGGGGUGCUCGAGUGGCGAACGGGUGAGUAACACGUGAGUAACCUGCCCUUGACUUUGGGAUAACUUCAGGAAACUGGGGCUAAUACCGGAUAGGAGCUCCUGCUGCAUGGUGGGGGUUGGAAAGUUUCGGCGGUUGGGGAUGGACUCGCGGCUUAUCAGCUUGUUGGUGGGGUAGUGGCUUACCAAGGCUUUGACGGGUAGCCGGCCUGAGAGGGUGACCGGCGACAUUGGGACUGAGAUACGGCCGAGACUCCUACGGGAGGCAGCAGUGGGGAAUAUUGCACAAUGGGCGGAAGCCUGAUGCAGCAACGCCGCGUGCGGGAUGACGGCCUUCGGGUUGUAACCCGCUUUCGCCUGUGACGAAGCGUGAGUGACGGUAAUGGGUAAAGAAGCACCGGCUAACUACGUG